UUAGCCCUCUUUCCUUGCCAAGCAAGCUAGUUUAAUGGGUUAAUAGGAUGACAUUGAGCUGAGGGGGUUAUUUUUAGAUGGAAUAGGAGAAUGGGUCGUUAAGUGAUGAAAUUUGAGUUCAAGGGGAUUGAGUGAGAUCGAGCUCGAGUUCCAAGGGGUGAAACAGUAAAUAAGCCAAAAAACAAAGCUUAAUAGCCACUCAAAGUCCCCACCCACCAGACCCCAACAGCCCUGCUAGGUAAAUCUCAUUCCUUUCUCCUUGCUCAGAUCAGAAAUGAUGGCCCCUUCAUCUUCUUUCUUGGCCUCCUUCAAUCUAUCAAACCAGCUACAAAUUCUCAC
RNAcentral lists this long non-coding RNA (339 nucleotides) under Prunus persica (peach). Its description in RNAcentral is "long non-coding RNA (PPER_LNC006146)". The record is from RNAcentral. Lineage: Eukaryota; Viridiplantae; Streptophyta; Magnoliopsida; Rosales; Rosaceae.